GACGAACGCUGGCGGCGUGCCUAAUACAUGCAAGUCGAGCGAAGUUUUUCUGGUGCUUGCACUAGAAACACUUAGCGGCGCACGGGUGAGUAACACGUAAACAACCUGCCUCAUAGACUGGGACAACUAUUGGAAACGAUAGCUAAUACCGGAUAACGGCAUUAACUGCAUGGUUGAUGUUUAAAAGUUGGUUUUGCUAACACUAUGAGAUGGCUUUGCGGUGCAUUAGCUAGUUGGUGGGGUAAAGGCCUACCAAGGCGACGAUGCAUAGCCGACCUGAGAGGGUGAUCGGCCACACUGGGACUGAGACACGGCCCAGACUCCUACGGGAGGCAGCAGUAGGGAAUCUUCCGCAAUGGGCGAAAGCCUGACGGAGCAACGCCGCGUGAGUGAAGAAGGAUUUCGGUUCGUAAAGCUCUGUUGUUAGGGAACAAUGAUUGUGUAGUAACUAUACACAGUAGAGACGGUACCUAACCAGAAAGCCACGGCUAACUACGUG
This 499-nucleotide ribosomal RNA is filed under the name uncultured bacterium. RNAcentral describes it as "partial 16S ribosomal RNA". It matches the Rfam family "Bacterial small subunit ribosomal RNA", at positions 28 to 507 of the family's 1533-position model. The record is from RNAcentral.